UGUUUGUCACAUACAUACAUAGUUUUAGCUUGAUAUUUAAUGUGGGAAAAGAUUUCUUUCUUUUUUUUGAGUUUCCAAAAAAGCUUUAACGUGUGAACCGUGUGAUUAGCAAAUGUCUCUGGAAAAAGAAAUAAUUUUUUUCCAUAUUUCCUGAACACAGUUUAUUUCAUAUACUGCAUCCUCAAUAUAAUUGUAAUUCUCUAAGACCCCACUCAUGGUGAAAUGACACUUCUAACCCGUAUCCAUAUUAUGAGAUCCAUAUAAUAAUUCUCACUUAUCUUUGCCUUCUCGCGUCACAAACUAACAAAAAGAUAAAAUCAAACAAAGGUUACGCUCUCGAAUGUUCUUGCCUUCGAAAACUAUAUUCACAUUGCUUACUAGUAGCGUGCUUCGCCAUCAUUAUCAUAGCCAUAUAGCAAUCAAAAAAGUAUUGCACAACAACUGGAAAAACUGGCUCGAUAGGCAAAGAAAUUAUCUAUUUGAUUGGCGGCGAAGUCAUUCGUCAUCGUCAUCAUCGCCGUCGUCGUCACUCCAGAAAAAUACACCACCAACCAACUAAAUAAACAAUCGCCAACAAAACAAGUGAUGGAGUGACUCAUGUGAUUCACACUUAGAGUGGAAAUGUCAAUGCUCAGAGCAAACGAACGCAGAAUGCCACAAUAAUGUGAUUCACAGUGACUAAUCAUAAUAUCCACUAGUCGCUUUGGGUCUCUCUGAAAUUAGAAAGAAA
Long non-coding RNA from Episyrphus balteatus (marmalade hoverfly), 730 nucleotides. RefSeq lists it as uncharacterized. The record is from RefSeq and is a predicted model, not a curated record. The transcript is spliced from 2 exons. Lineage: Eukaryota; Metazoa; Arthropoda; Insecta; Diptera; Syrphidae.